Molecule: ribosomal RNA, 479 nt
Filed under: uncultured bacterium
Lineage: Bacteria
Description: partial 16S ribosomal RNA
Rfam family: Bacterial small subunit ribosomal RNA
Source: RNAcentral
GAUGAACGCUGGCGGCGUGCUUAACACAUGCAAGUCGAACGAAGCAUUUAAGACAGAUUACCUCGGUUUGAAGUCUUUUAUGACUGAGUGGCGGACGGGUGAGUAACGCGUGGGUAACCUGCCUCAUACAGGGGGAUAGCAGCUGGAAACGGCUGGUAAUACCGCAUAAGCGCACAGUACCACAUGGUACAGUGUGAAAAACUCCGGUGGUAUGAGAUGGACCCGCGUCUGAUUAGCUUGUUGGCGGGGUAACGGCCCACCAAGGCGACGAUCAGUAGCCGACCUGAGAGGGUGACCGGCCACAUUGGGACUGAGACACGGCCCAGACUCCUACGGGAGGCAGCAGUGGGGAAUAUUGCACAAUGGAGGAAACUCUGAUGCAGCGACGCCGCGUGAGUGAAGAAGUAGUUCGCUAUGUAAAGCUCUAUCAGCAGGGAAGAUAGUGACGGUACCUGACUAAGAAGCUCCGGCUAAAUACG